This 438-nucleotide ribosomal RNA is filed under the name uncultured Bacillota bacterium. RNAcentral describes it as "bacterial SSU rRNA". It matches the Rfam family "Bacterial small subunit ribosomal RNA", at positions 917 to 1359 of the family's 1533-position model. Lineage: Bacteria; Bacillati; Bacillota. The record is from RNAcentral.
GGGCCCGCACAAGCAGUGGAGUAUGUGGUUUAAUUCGAAGCAACGCGAAGAACCUUACCAGGUCUUGACAUCCGAUGAAUACCUAAGAGAUUAGGGAAGCCUUUCGGGGCAUCGAGACAGGUGGUGCAUGGUCGUCGUCAGCUCGUGUCGUGAGAUGUUGGGUUAAGUCCCGCAACGAGCGCAACCCUUACGGGAUAGUUACUACGAGAAGAGGACUCUAUCAGGACUGCCGUUGACAAAACGGAGGAAGGUGGGGACGACGUCAGAUCAUCAUGCCCUUUAUGACCUGGGCUACACACGUACUACAAUGGCAAUUAACAGAGAGAAGCGAAACCGCGAGGUGGAGCAAACCUCACAAAAAUUGUCUCAGUUCGGAUCGCAGGCUGCAACUCGCCUGCGUGAAGUUGGAAUUGCUAGUAAUCGCGGAUCAGCAUGCCG